Mastomys coucha (southern multimammate mouse) is the source of this 138-nucleotide small nucleolar RNA. RefSeq annotates it as small nucleolar RNA SNORA17. The record is from RefSeq and is a predicted model, not a curated record. The transcript has a single exon. Lineage: Eukaryota; Metazoa; Chordata; Mammalia; Rodentia; Muridae.
CCUGCCCUGAGGCACCAUGCAGGUAUGAAUGCUGUGUCACAUGUAUGUCAGUAAGUGACAGAGAGAAAGUGAAGGGAGUCUAUGUUUAUUCUCAAUGUUCUGACCUAUGAACAUUUGAAUAAUUAGGAGUCUAAAAUU